UACAGAGGGUGCGAGCGUUAAUCGGAAUUACUGGGCGUAGAGCGCGCGUAGGCGGCUUUGCAAGUCGGGUGUGAAAUCCCCAGGCUUAACCUGGGAACUGCAUUCGAGACUGCAUUGCUAGAGUAUGGGAGAGGGAAGUGGAAUUUCCGGUGUAGCGGUGAAAUGCGUAGAUAUCGGAAGGAACAUCAGUGGCGAAAGCGACUUCCUGGACCAAUACUGACGCUCAUGUGCGAAAGCGUGGGGAGCAAACAGG
This 253-nucleotide ribosomal RNA is filed under the name uncultured bacterium. Its description in RNAcentral is "partial 16S ribosomal RNA". It matches the Rfam family "Bacterial small subunit ribosomal RNA", at positions 524 to 776 of the family's 1533-position model. The record is from RNAcentral.